RNAcentral lists this ribosomal RNA (497 nucleotides) under uncultured bacterium. Its description in RNAcentral is "partial 16S ribosomal RNA". It matches the Rfam family "Bacterial small subunit ribosomal RNA", at positions 28 to 507 of the family's 1533-position model. The record is from RNAcentral.
GACGAACGCUGGCGGCGUGCCUAAUACAUGCAAGUUGAGCGCUGAAGGUUGGUCCUUGUACCAACUGGAUGAGCAGCGAACGGGUGAGUAACGCGUGGGGAAUCUGCCUUUGAGCGGGGGACAACAUUUGGAAACGAAUGCUAAUACCGCAUAAAAACUUUAAACACAAGUUUUAGGUUUGAAAGAUGCAAUUGCAUCACUCAAAGAUGAUCCCGCGUUGUAUUAGCUAGUUGGUGAGGUAAAGGCUCACCAAGGCGAUGAUACAUAGCCGACCUGAGAGGGUGAUCGGCCACAUUGGGACUGAGACACGGCCCAAACUCCUACGGGAGGCAGCAGUAGGGAAUCUUCGGCAAUGGACGAAAGUCUGACCGAGCAACGCCGCGUGAGUGAAGAAGGUUUUCGGAUCGUAAAACUCUGUUGGUAGAGAAGAACGUUGGUGAGAGUGGAAAGCUCAUCAAGUGACGGUAACUACCCAGAAAGGGACGGCUAACUACGUG